ACAAUCAGUUAUUCACGUCAGAGUUAAAAGAUGAAUAAAAAGUUAACAUGGAUUAUAUUCACAAUUAUCUCUUCCCCUUUGUUGUGUUUUGCUGAAUUCCAUCCUCUUUGCAAUCUUAAAAGAUCGACAAGACAAGGAUUCUGCCAAUAUCAAACAGUGUGGAGCUAUGAUAUUCUCUCGGAUGAAUGCACCUCUUGGGAUUAUGCAGGAUGUGACAUCGAGGGCAAUAUGUUUGGGAACUAUGCAGAUUGCCGAAGUUAUUGUGUUCGGAAAGCUUCGACAGUUGCUUGGAUUAAAGACCGUUAGUUACAUUUGAUUUAUUUUUAUUGACAUAAAAACAGUGAAGUUUUGGUUAUAGAUAGAUGUCAUUUAAAACAUGUAGAGCCUACUAAUAAGAGAGAGUGUGAAAAAACAAAUAUAUAUUCCUAUAAUUCGAGUCUGAA
Molecule: long non-coding RNA, 443 nt
Organism: Drosophila willistoni
Lineage: Eukaryota; Metazoa; Arthropoda; Insecta; Diptera; Drosophilidae
Exons: 2
Source: RefSeq, a predicted model, not a curated record